RNAcentral lists this ribosomal RNA (786 nucleotides) under Triticum aestivum (bread wheat). Its description in RNAcentral is "partial small subunit ribosomal RNA". Lineage: Eukaryota; Viridiplantae; Streptophyta; Magnoliopsida; Poales; Poaceae. The record is from RNAcentral.
AUGGCUAGUUGUCUCGUCCCUCUGGCCGUUCUUCUGCUCAUCGCGGCGGCACCGGGCGCGGCGGCGUUCCGGACGGGCAACACGACGGCCAUCCACAUCGGCAACACCAAGGCCUGCAUCGCCGGCUACGGGGGGCUCCAGGAUCCGGGCCUCUCGUACAAGCUCUGCAUCCCCACCUGGGUCGCCUUCACCCCCAACGGCACCCUCUUCGGCGAGGCCGCCUUGAACCACGCCGCCGUCAGCCCCGGAACGGCCGUCUCCGGCUUCAAACGCGUCCUCGGCUCCAAGUAUCAGUCUCCCUUGGUUGCUUUCCUCCUCUCGUCUGCCGACGUCGACGGUAUUAAUUCAAGUGUUAUCUGUCUGGUUUGCAGGAUUUUUGAGGAUGUGGUGAAGAGAGAGACGGAGCUAGUGCCGUACAAGCUCGUCGAGUUCCCGGAUGGAAGAUGCGCUAUCGAGAUCCAGAGCGAGGAAGGCGGCGCCAAGGUUUUCCCCGCCGACGAAGUCGCCGGAAUUCUCGUAUCCAAGCUGAAGCGGAUGGCGGAGGCGCACCUGGGCCAGAUCAGGAACGUUCUACUCACCGUCCCCUGGCACUCGAGGGACUACCAAAGGCACCUUCUCGCAACGGCCGCACGGCUCGAGGGCGGCUUCUCCGCCGCGAGGUACGUCGACGAGCAUGUCGCGGUGGCCGCGGCGCACGGCCAUCACGAGAAGGCGCGCGAAGGCAAGGUCAUCCUCGUCUUCCACAUGGGCGGCCGCACGACCCACGCCACCAUGUUCAAGUUUUAG